This 169-nucleotide ribosomal RNA is filed under the name Conocybe antipus. RNAcentral describes it as "5.8S ribosomal RNA". It matches the Rfam family "5.8S ribosomal RNA". Rfam says of the family: 5.8S ribosomal RNA (5.8S rRNA) is a component of the large subunit of the eukaryotic ribosome. It is transcribed by RNA polymerase I as part of the 45S precursor that also contains 18S and 28S rRNA. Lineage: Eukaryota; Fungi; Basidiomycota; Agaricomycetes; Agaricales; Bolbitiaceae. The record is from RNAcentral.
UACAACUUUCAGCAACGGAUCUCUUGGCUCUCGCAUCGAUGAAGAACGCAGCGAAAUGCGAUAAGUAAUGUGAAUUGCAGAAUUCAGUGAAUCAUCGAAUCUUUGAACGCACCUUGCGCUCCUUGGUAUUCCGAGGAGCAUGCCUGUUUGAGUGUCAUUAAAUUCUCAU